RNAcentral lists this ribosomal RNA (561 nucleotides) under uncultured crenarchaeote. RNAcentral's name for it is "bacterial SSU rRNA". It matches the Rfam family "Archaeal small subunit ribosomal RNA", at positions 336 to 965 of the family's 1478-position model. Lineage: Archaea; Thermoproteati; Thermoproteota. The record is from RNAcentral.
UAGACUCCACUCUACAAUCGCACUAACGCGAAGGGGGUACCUCAAGCCUAUAGGCGACUGUCUUUUCUUGGCUAAAAAGCUAGGAAAAAAGGGGGGAAGACUAGUGCAGCCGCCGCGGAACACCAGCCCCUCGAGUGGGGGGACGAUUAUUUGGCCUAAAGCGUCCGUAGCUUGCCGGAAAAGUUUCCCGUUAAAUCCGACGUCUCAAGCGUUGGACUGCGAGAAAUACUGUCUGGCUAGAGAGUGGGAGAGGUUAGCGGUAUUCUGGGGGUAGGGGCGAAAUCUUUGAUCCCGAGGACACCAGUGGCGAAGGCUGCUGACUAGAAACUCUACGGUAGGGACGAAAGCUGGGUAGCAACGGAUAGAUCCGGGGAGUCAGCCGAACGAUGCUGCAGUGUGGGUGGCACAGCACCCAGUGCGCAGGAACCGUAGCAUGCGCCUGGGAGUACGACGCAGGUGAAACUUAAGGAAUUGCGGGAAAGGCGAUCGUUAACUGCAGGACUAGUCCCUUUAGUGAGGUUAUUCUGAGCUGCGUAAUCUGGACAUAGCUGUUUCUGAAUU